RNAcentral lists this ribosomal RNA (879 nucleotides) under Vibrio sp. ZF57. RNAcentral describes it as "bacterial LSU rRNA". It matches the Rfam family "Bacterial large subunit ribosomal RNA", at positions 398 to 1279 of the family's 2925-position model. Lineage: Bacteria; Pseudomonadati; Pseudomonadota; Gammaproteobacteria; Vibrionales; Vibrionaceae. The record is from RNAcentral.
AUCAGUGAAAACGAGUAGGGCGGGACACGUGAUAUCCUGUCUGAAUAUGGGGGGACCAUCCUCCAAGGCUAAAUACUACUGACUGACCGAUAGUGAACCAGUACCGUGAGGGAAAGGCGAAAAGAACCCCUGUGAGGGGAGUGAAAUAGAACCUGAAACCGUGUACGUACAAGCAGUAGGAGCACCUUCGUGGUGUGACUGCGUACCUUUUGUAUAAUGGGUCAGCGACUUAAUUUUAGUAGCAAGGUUAACCGUUUAGGGGAGCCGUAGGGAAACCGAGUCUUAACUGGGCGUACAGUUGCUAGGAUUAGACCCGAAACCAGGUGAUCUAGCCAUGGGCAGGUUGAAGGUUGAGUAACAUCAACUGGAGGACCGAACCGACUAAUGUUGAAAAAUUAGCGGAUGACUUGUGGCUAGGGGUGAAAGGCCAAUCAAACCUGGAGAUAGCUGGUUCUCCCCGAAAGCUAUUUAGGUAGCGCCUCGGACGAAUACUACUGGGGGUAGAGCACUGUUAAGGCUAGGGGGUCAUCCCGACUUACCAACCCUUUGCAAACUCCGAAUACCAGUAAGUACUAUCCGGGAGACACACGGCGGGUGCUAACGUCCGUCGUGGAGAGGGAAACAACCCAGACCGCCAGCUAAGGUCCCAAAGUAUAGCUAAGUGGGAAACGAUGUGGGAAGGCUCAGACAGCCAGGAUGUUGGCUUAGAAGCAGCCAUCAUUUAAAGAAAGCGUAAUAGCUCACUGGUCGAGUCGGCCUGCGCGGAAGAUGUAACGGGGCUAAGCUAUACACCGAAGCUGCGGCUACGUACCUUAGGGUAUGUGGGGUAGGGGAGCGUUCUGUAAGCCGUUGAAGGUGGUCUGUAAGGGCUGCUGGAGG